Molecule: long non-coding RNA, 538 nt
Filed under: Trifolium pratense (red clover)
Lineage: Eukaryota; Viridiplantae; Streptophyta; Magnoliopsida; Fabales; Fabaceae
Description: long non-coding RNA (TPRA_LNC011025)
Source: RNAcentral
ACAGAUUAUUUGAAGGAUUUAUGCAAAGUGAGUGUGUGGAAGAGUGAAGCAACAGAGCAGGUAUGACCAGUAACUCUGCUUCUGGUGAACCUUGUACAUGUAAGACUAGUGGAAUUUGUUUGUUUGUGUCUAUGACUACUUUAACUUUGUGGAAAAUGUGAGUGUCAAAUUUGUGUGUUUUUGUUUGCUCAUUUUUAUGAAGUCUGAAAUCAAUUUUAGUUUUAGUUUUACCUUGUAAGUGUCGUUUAUCUCUCAUUCUCAAGAUAAUGAGUUUUUUUUUAUUGGUGCUUCACAUGCUUAAAAUCUUUGGAAUGAUCCUUGUAUCUGUUUGCAGUGAAGAAACUGAAUGUUAUAGUUUUCGAGGACUAGAGUGAUGCACAAUUUCUUGAACUGAUAUCCAACAUCUAAUAAAUUUAGCAUGCCAAUAUUGCAAAUGUAGAAAACUAUAUAUAUUGAAUAUUGUCAUGUUCCGAUAUUUAAUUAUCUGUGCUUCUUUCUGGUCAAUAAUUAGUAUCCCAAAACGGGUUUUAUACCACAA